Molecule: long non-coding RNA, 592 nt
Filed under: Canis lupus dingo (dingo)
Lineage: Eukaryota; Metazoa; Chordata; Mammalia; Carnivora; Canidae
Description: lncRNA (ENSCAFG00020026173.1)
Source: RNAcentral
GAGAGAGGGAGAGAGAGAGGCAGAGACACAGGCAGAGGGAGAAGCAGGCUCCAUGCACCGGGAGCCCGACGUGGGAUUCGAUCCUGGGUCUCCAGGAUCGCGCCCUGGGCCAAAGGCAGGCGCCAAACCGCUGCGCCACCCAGGGAUCCCUACCCCAGUCUUAAUCAGUGGUGGAGGAACGGUCUCAGAACUGUCUGUGUCAAUUGGCCAUUUAAGUUUAAUAGUAAAAGACUGGUUAAUGAGAACAAUGCAUCAUAAAAUCUUCAGAAGGUCUGGUUGUGGAAAUCAGGGUCAUGGUGAGAGUAGAGUCAAGGAGAUGUGUCCUGAGAACCAAACCUGCCUAUGGCACAGCCCAGCAUAAAGCCCCUGGUCUGUGCAAAUAUGGGGUCCAGAACCAUAAAUUCCAACGGAAAAUGCUUCACUAAGCCACCCUAAUAACAUCAGAAGCUAUGGAGAGAGAAUUACACGGUCGAAGGUGCCCAAUAUAAUAUUAUUCAGCAACAGGUGAGAUACAGCUCUUCAAUCUCUGUUCCUCUUGAGUUGAAUCUUAUGCUCCAAUAAAACUGAAUGACACUUGGUUCCUUGAAAAUAC